GAGGGGGGGAGAAGGGAGAGGGUGAUAUGAUAAAACAGACUGAAAGCCAUUAAUAUGUAUAGCUCGGGGGGAGAAGGGAGAGUGGGAUAUGAUAAAACAGACUGAAAGCCAUUAAUAUGUAUAGCUCGGGGGGAGAAGGGAGAGGGGGAUAUGAUAAAACAGACUGAAAGCCAUUAAUAUGUAUAGCUUGGGGGGAGAAGGGAGAGGAGGAUAUGAUAAAACAAACUGAAAGCCAUUAAUAUGUAUAGCUCGGGGGGGAGAAGGGAGAGGGGGAUAUGAUAAAACAGACUGAAAGCCAUUAAUAUGUAUAGCUUGGGGGGGAGAAGGGAGAGGGGAUAUGAUAAAACAGACUGAAAGCCAUUAAUAUGUAUAGCUCAGGGGGAGAGGGGAGAGGGGGAUAUGAUAAAACAGACUGAAAGCCAUUAAUAUGUAUAGCUCGGGGGGAGAAGGGAGAGGGGGAUAUGAU
This is a non-coding RNA of Pelobates cultripes (western spadefoot toad), 466 nucleotides long. NCBI's taxonomy places the organism in Eukaryota, Metazoa, Chordata, Amphibia, Anura, Pelobatidae. The record is from the annotation of a GenBank genome assembly.